AACAAGGGAGGAUCAAAAGAUCUCUUCAAUUUCCCUAAGCAAUCCCUAUGUCAAACAUCAAUCAUACAAAAGUCAACCGAAAAGUCAAGUCAACUUAAAAAAUAUCAAAUAAAUAGUAAAUUAAUUCAAUAAAUUAUGAAAAAAUAAAUUAAAAGAGGUGGGGUCAGGACAUCAUCAUCCCCCAAAAAUAUUUUAAAAAUGAUGUGAAUUAGUGUAUUAAUUAAUUGAAAUAAAACAGAAGUCAAAU
This 247-nucleotide long non-coding RNA is filed under the name Lathyrus oleraceus (garden pea). RNAcentral's name for it is "Pisum sativum (pea) long non-coding RNA (PSAT_LNC011928)". Lineage: Eukaryota; Viridiplantae; Streptophyta; Magnoliopsida; Fabales; Fabaceae. The record is from RNAcentral.